Long non-coding RNA from Sapajus apella (tufted capuchin), 106 nucleotides. RefSeq lists it as uncharacterized. The transcript is spliced from 4 exons. Lineage: Eukaryota; Metazoa; Chordata; Mammalia; Primates; Cebidae. The record is from RefSeq and is a predicted model, not a curated record.
UUUAUUCUCUCAUUUUGCCUGCUACCUGUACCUGCUACACUCUAUUGAGCCCAUCUUCUAAAUCUGCCUUUUUUUCACCUAUAACUGGGCAACACACGCUUUCCAG